CCCUUAGAUGUUCUGUGCUGCACACGUGCUACACUGGCAGGUUCAGCGAGCUUCAUGCCCUGAUCUGAAAGGAAUGGGAAAUCUUUUCAAAACCUGCCGUGCUUGGGAUAGAUGUUUGCAAUUAUUCAUCUUCAACGAGGAUUGCCUUGUAAGCGCACGUCAUCAGCGUGCAUUGAAUACGACCCUGUAUUCUGUACACACCGCCCGUCGCUCCUACCGAUUGAAGUUUUCGGUGAGUUGACAGGAGGAUUUUUUUGAAACUGGUUCGCCAGUGGAUUUUAGAUCCAAAUGCCAACGAAUCGAUGGCUUUAGAGGAAGGAGAAGUCGUAACA
Molecule: ribosomal RNA, 332 nt
Filed under: uncultured eukaryote
Lineage: Eukaryota
Description: partial 18S ribosomal RNA
Rfam family: Eukaryotic small subunit ribosomal RNA
Source: RNAcentral